This 274-nucleotide ribosomal RNA is filed under the name uncultured bacterium. Its description in RNAcentral is "partial 16S ribosomal RNA". It matches the Rfam family "Bacterial small subunit ribosomal RNA", at positions 523 to 796 of the family's 1533-position model. The record is from RNAcentral.
AUACGGAGGGUGCAAGCGUUACUCGGAAUCACUGGGCGUAAAGCGCGCGCAGGCGGGCUGAUAAGUUGGAUGUGAAAGCCUACGGCUCAACCGUAGAACUGCAUCCAAAACUGUCAGUCUAGAGUCUGCGAGGGGAAGAUGGAAUUAGUUGUGUAGGGGUAAAAUCCGUAGAGAUAACUAGGAAUACCAAAAGCGAAGGCGAUCUUCUGGAACAGUACUGACGCUGAGGCGCGAAAGCGUGGGGAGCAAACAGAAUUAGAUACCCUUGUAGUCC